CUUCGGGCCCUGUGCAACGGUAUGCUGUGAACCCCGCCAGGUCCGGAAGGAAGCAACGGUAAGCGGUUAUCCCGGGUGCCGCAGGAUCACCUGAAGGCC
Molecule: signal recognition particle RNA, 99 nt
Filed under: Nitrospiraceae bacterium
Lineage: Bacteria; Pseudomonadati; Nitrospirota; Nitrospiria; Nitrospirales; Nitrospiraceae
Description: signal recognition particle sRNA small type
Rfam family: Bacterial small signal recognition particle RNA
About the family: The signal recognition particle (SRP) is a universally conserved ribonucleoprotein involved in the co-translational targeting of proteins to membranes. Archaeal SRP consists of a 7S RNA and homologues of the eukaryotic SRP19 and SRP54 proteins. In most bacteria, the SRP consists of a 4.5S RNA and the Ffh protein (a homologue of the eukaryotic SRP54 protein).
Source: RNAcentral